RNAcentral lists this long non-coding RNA (517 nucleotides) under Malus domestica (apple). Its description in RNAcentral is "long non-coding RNA (MDOM_LNC007116)". Lineage: Eukaryota; Viridiplantae; Streptophyta; Magnoliopsida; Rosales; Rosaceae. The record is from RNAcentral.
AACCCCUCAAUACCUUCUGAAAUCGAUGGAAACAUCUCAAGACUGGAGCAGCCAUAAAGAUUAAAGGUUUUCAGACAUUUCAUAUGAAUGCAGCUUGGAAGACUCUUAAGUUUCUUGCAAUCUUUUAGGUUGAAAUGACUCAACCCCGUGAGAUUAUUAAUUGACAGGGGCAGUUCUUUAAUUUUGGACCCGGAUAAAUUAAGCUCUUCUAACUCCUCCAUACCUUCUGAAAUCUCUGGAAACAUCUCAAGACUGGAGCAGCCAGAAAGAUUAAAGGUUUUGAGAGAUCUCAUACGAAUUUUGCUGGGUAGAAUCUUAAGUUCCUUGCAAUUUGAUAGGUUCAAAUGACACAACCCCAUGAGAUUAUUAAUUGACUCGGGCAGUUCUUUAAUUUUGGACUCGGAUAAAUUAAGCUCUUCUAACUCCUCCAUACCUUCUGAAAUCUCUGGAAACAUCAGAAGACUGGAGCAGCCAAAAAGAUUAAAGGUUUUGAGAGAUCUCAUACGAAUUUUGCUAG